UCUGCCUCUCUCUCACUCCUCUCCCUCUCGUUUCAAUUAAAUGUUGGGCGGCCCAUCUAUCUUCUCCAGUCUCCUCCCUCCGGCCCUGCCCUGCCCCGCGCGCCUCCCUUCCUUCCAAGCCCCUCUUACUGCGGCCACGGCGGCGGGCACACGCAGGAUCCCCGGCAGUGGGCGGGUGGGAGCCGCGUCGGGCCGGCGCUCAGACAGUGGGCGUGCGGGAUCCGUGGUGGCGGCCGGCUUUCAUACGGUGGCCGGCGAGAGCACAGCAUGCGCCUCCUCUUCCCCUGUAGUCUCCACCGCCUCUAGCCCUGCCAUAUCCCCGCGCGCCUCCCUUCCUCCUUCCUCCCUCUUCGAGCGGCCACGGCAGCAGGCGCGCGGAAUCCGCGGUGGUGGGUGCGCGGGAGCCGCGGCGGCCAGCGAGCAGCGCCUUCCCUCGCCGCCCACUCUCCUCCCUUCUUCCUCCACACGGGAGCAGUGGCGGGUAGGCGGGAGCAACAGCGGUAGGUUGGGACCAGCUGCGGCCGGCACGCAGCGGGCGGUCGGGGUUACGGCCACGCAGUCGCGGCGGUGCGAUGCGCAGGCAGAGGCCGGCACGCUAACAGGGCAAGCAAACUGCAAAAGAAUAAUGCGGAAUCCAAAAGUCACCAAUAGGAAGCUGUACGCUUCCCUUCAUACCUGAAUUUCUUGUCAACCAAAUAAAAAGAUCAACACAUGCAGCUAAAGGAUAAUUCAGACUUUCAGCUGAGAGCAGAACAUAAGUUUAAAUAAAACAUCAGCUGGCACAGGUGAGGUUUCAUUAAUCUCUCUCUAUGGAGUAACUUUGUUAUCUAUCACAGAAAUGACAUUAUUAUAGCAAGACCCGAUAAAUCGAACUUAUAAUUAUUUCUCGAAUGCAAGAAUCGAUAACUGACUAAUCACCAUUAGUCGGAUGACUUGAUAACAUUGAUCAAGCUAAACUCAGCUGGGUGAAGUUUGUCCCAUCAGAUUCAAUUUCAGUUUAUGGUUAUCACUACAUGAGCAAAAUAAACAAAAAUCUAGGCAUUCUUGCUGUUCUUUACUAAAACAUUCCAACUUCCCAUCAGAUUCAAUUUCAGUUUAUGGUUAUCACUACAUGAGCAAAAUAAACAAAAAUCUAGGCAUUCUUGCUGUUCUUUACUAAAACAUUCCAACUUCCUAUAUUAUGCAUAAAGCAAAGAAUUGAAAUUUGUGUAGGAUGGAUUGAUAAGACGCAACUCAAUGCAAAAUUUGAUCUAAUAUACUCCAAAAAAAUAUUACACAGCCUGAUUCGACCAAAUUACAUCUCUGCGUAAAAAUUGGUAUGAAUGAAUUAUUGUACAAUAUUUUUGUCAUAAAUUCAAAGCAAAGGUAGAUAAAAAGCAUGAAGAAAGCUAGUUUAUCAACUAUACUAACUUGUACAAAAGCAUCUCAGUUCUUAUGAAAAAAUUGAGGUCCAAUCAUUCUCUUGUUGAAAUGUCACAAGAAUGUUGCUCAAGAACAUCAAGCUUUGCACAUCCCAUCAGACAACUGCCUAUUUUUAUCUUAGUCAGGCAAACAAAGAACUGAUAAAAAGGUUAGAAAGAAAAAACCUUGAACUUCUGUCUAAAUCCUUGCGUUGGCCACCCUUCCCCAAUGCCCAAAUGCAGCAUCGAGACUCCAUACUGAACCUAGGGCCUGAGAAGUGAGGACCUAUGAGAAAGGGAAUUGAAGGACCAGGCAAGAGGGUAGUAAAUGUGACGAAUGGAAUCUGCCUUUUACCUUAGGUUGCCUUGCCCUCCUGCGCAUGCCUUGUUCUUCAUGGGAUAGAGCCCCUCACGUGCUAGCAACCCACCAUGACCACCAGCACCACGAACUCGUCAACCUCUGGCCGCACUACCCUCAACCGCCCUCAUGGGAUCUGCUGCGUGCCUGCGUUUGUCACCAAGGGAAGGGGCCGCUCGCCAAAGAGAUGAGAGGGAGGAGCGGAGGAGCUACGGCAGCGGCUGUGCUGGAGUGGGAGCUGGGAGGUGCGCGCAGCAGCGAGAUGCGAUGGCAGCGGCGAGGAGAGGAGAGGAGAGGAGAGAAGAACGAGGGAGGAGUUGCGUUUGCGUUAGGUCUGAAGUUGGGACUGCGGGUUAAUUUGAGUCAAAUAGGAGGGCUUUUCUGCAAAGUUGCCAGAAGACACCGGCAAUGCGGGAGGCGCCGAGCACUCUCGUGCCAGGAGGAGGCACCUAGCUCUCUUUAAUAAACCCGAUACCUAUCCAUGCAUACAACUCAUUCAUAAUCUAACGCUCCUAGAAGCCGUGUCACCUCAGCACCGCCCUUUUACCUCCCAGAAUUUCUAACCGUGUUAUAUGAUGUCUCAAUGGCUCGACACAAUGCAAGUUAUAUUUAUUUUAGGUUAUUGGAUUAAUAUAAAAAAAUUUGAUAAAAUGAACUAGGAUGACAUUGUACGCAUUUAAUUUAGGAGGAGAAAUGAACUAGAAUGAUAUACCAUCAUAAUUAUUGAGUUGACCUAUAAAAUACCAUUAGAUAUCCACUUGCGUCUAAACAUCUUUAGACGUACAUGGCAGACGGUGCUCUGUUCAGGCUUCACUUCGCUCUUGUCGUCCGGCCUCCAGGCAAUUUCUGAUUUCUGUACCACUUGCUUUUAUACAAUGCGAUGAUGAUUGUUACAAAUAGUUUUCUUAAUGAAAUGAUAAUUUUCUACGUUACCAAUAAGGGUGCAGCGUGUAUAUAUGAGUUAGCAGUAUUGAACAUUUGUGGAACAUAUAUAUUGCCCGUUUAUGUCGAGCCCCGCAUCCCCAAAACAGUAACAUUCCUUGCUCCGCGCCUGAUCUGACCCCUCAUUGACAGAGAUAAAGGCACCAGUGAGCCCACGGAUCUUACUUUAUUUCUCCAUGCUUUCCCCUUGUCUGGGAGAUUCCCUUCGCUGCGGCGAGUUUCACCAUGUUUCGAAGAUUUCCAUCGCUGCUUUACCACACAGGAUGAUGUUUACGAGAACGAUUAUUCAUAGUUUCCUAUGUUACAACAAAUAGAACGCAAUAGAUAAAAGAACAAAAUAGCUAAUUGUAAUGGCGUCCAGCCAGUGCCCAGUAGUAUUCUAAUUUAACUACUUCAGGGUGUACUUGGCAAGCUGUACAGUGUCCAUUCUCACAAAUAAUACUUACCAUUCU
Molecule: RNA transcript, 3152 nt
Organism: Panicum hallii
Lineage: Eukaryota; Viridiplantae; Streptophyta; Magnoliopsida; Poales; Poaceae
Gene name: translation initiation factor IF-2-like
Exons: 2
Source: RefSeq, a predicted model, not a curated record